This 330-nucleotide small nuclear RNA is filed under the name Erinaceus europaeus (western European hedgehog). Its description in RNAcentral is "7SK RNA (ENSEEUG00000020700.1)". It matches the Rfam family "7SK RNA". From Rfam's summary of the family: 7SK was discovered as an abundant small nuclear RNA in the mid-70s but a possible function has only recently been suggested. Two independent studies have found that 7SK RNA binds the CDK9/cyclin T complex (known as elongation factor P-TEFb). Lineage: Eukaryota; Metazoa; Chordata; Mammalia; Eulipotyphla; Erinaceidae. The record is from RNAcentral.
GGAUGUGAGGGCAAUCUGGCUGUGACAUCUGUCACACCAUUCAUUGAUUCAGCUAAUCUGGCUGGCUAGGCGGGUGUCCCCUUCAUUCCCCCACCUCUCCAUGUGUGUCCCUCUGGAAGCUGCGCUCUCGGUGGAAGAGGAUGGGCUUCCCAGGAUAGAGACGUACUAGUCUUCGGUAGAGGGUAUAUGGAGUAGCUAGCGUUCCCCUGCUAGAACCUCCAAACAAGCUUCUCUUACAACUGUCGUUUGUACCAAUGAUGAAUCAAAAUUAUCUGUAAGAGAAAAGAAUAUAUUUUCUAUACUAAAAAGACAGUAAAAACAAAGUUGUGU